RNAcentral lists this ribosomal RNA (492 nucleotides) under uncultured bacterium. RNAcentral's name for it is "partial 16S ribosomal RNA". It matches the Rfam family "Bacterial small subunit ribosomal RNA", at positions 29 to 507 of the family's 1533-position model. The record is from RNAcentral.
AGUGAACGCUGGCGGUAGGCCUAACACAUGCAAGUCGAACGGCAGCACAGUAAGAGCUUGCUCUUACGGGUGGCGAGUGGCGGACGGGUGAGGAAUACAUCGGAAUCUACUUUUUCGUGGGGGAUAACGUAGGGACACUUACGCUAAUCCCGCAUACGACCUACGGGUGAAAGCAGGGGAUCUUCGGACCUUGCGCGAUUGAAUGAGCCUAUGUCGGAUUAGCUAGUUGGAGGGGUAAAGGCCCACCAAGGCGACGAUCCGUAGCUGGUCUGAGAGGAUGAUCAGCCACACUGGAACUGAGACACGGUCCAGACUCCUACGGGAGGCAGCAGUGGGGAAUAUUGGACAAUGGGCGCAAGCCUGAUCCAGCCAUACCGCGUGGGUGAAGAAGGCCUUCGGGUUGUAAAGCCCUUUUGUUGGGAAAGAAAAGCAGCAGGUUAAUACCUCGCUGUUCUGACGGUACCCAAAGAAUAAGCACCGGCUAACUUCGUG